CGGAUUUCUUCGGAUUGAAGCCUUGGUGACUGAGCGGCGGACGGGUGAGUAACGCGUGGGUAACCUGCCUCAUACAGGGGGAUAACAGUUGGAAACGGCUGCUAAUACCGCAUAAGCGCACAGUACCGCAUGGUACGGUGUGAAAAACUCCGGUGGUAUGAGAUGGACCCGCGUCUGAUUAGGUAGUUGGUGGGGUAACGGCCUACCAAGCCGACGAUCAGUAGCCGACCUGAGGGGGUGACCGGCCACAUUGGGACUGAGACACGGCCCAAACUCCUACGGGAGGCAGUAGUGGGGAAUAUUGCACAAUGGGGGAAACCCUGAUGCAGCGACGCCGCGUGAGCGAUGAAGUAUUUCGGUAUGUAAAGCUCUAUCAGCAGGGAAGAAAAUGACGGUACCUGACUAAGAAGCCCCGGCUAACUACGUGCCAGCAGCCGCGGUAAUACGUAGGGGGCAAGCGUUAUCCGGAUUUACUGGGUGUAAAGGGAGCGUAGACGGCAUGGCAAGCCAGAUGUGAAAGCCCGGGGCUCAACCCCGGGACUGCAUUUGGAACUGUCAGGCUAGAGUGUCGGAGAGGAAAGCGGAAUUCCUAGUGUAGCGGUGGAAUGCGUAGAUAUCGGGAGGAACACCAGUGGCGAAG
Molecule: ribosomal RNA, 640 nt
Filed under: uncultured Lachnospiraceae bacterium
Lineage: Bacteria; Bacillati; Bacillota; Clostridia; Lachnospirales; Lachnospiraceae
Description: bacterial SSU rRNA
Rfam family: Bacterial small subunit ribosomal RNA
Source: RNAcentral